This 459-nucleotide long non-coding RNA is filed under the name Nicotiana tabacum (common tobacco). RNAcentral describes it as "long non-coding RNA (NTAB_LNC003918)". Lineage: Eukaryota; Viridiplantae; Streptophyta; Magnoliopsida; Solanales; Solanaceae. The record is from RNAcentral.
UUUAAAGGAAAAAAAAGGAAAGGGAGAAAGAGAAAUCUUUCUGUCUUAAAGUGUAAUUAACAAUGGCUUCCUCAGUUCUUUCCUCUGCAGCAGUUGCCACCCGCAGCAAUGUUGCUCAAGCUAACAUGGUUGCACCUUUCACUGGCCUUAAGUCAGCUGCCUCAUUCCCUGUUUCAAGGAAGCAAAACCUUGACAUCACUUCCAUUGCCAGCAACGGCGGAAGAGUGCAAUGCAUGCAGGUAAUUUAUAUACAAUGACAGUGCAAAAAAUUUUGAUACAAUUAAUGCAUCUUAACAUGUCAUAGCUAAAAAUUCUAUUUUGGUGGAAUAUAGGUGUGGCCACCAAUUAACAAGAAGAAGUACGAGACUCUCUCAUACCUUCCUGAUUUGAGCCAGGAGCAAUUGCUUAGUGAAGUUGAGUACCUUUUGAAAAAUGGAUGGGUUCCUUGCUUGGAAUUCN